UUGUAAUCCUUGGGCCCGGGAUUCUUAUCAUGUUCUUUUCACUGGUUUUGGUUAAUGUGUUUGUUCUGAAGACAGUAGCCUGGGGGAAUGAGACAUCUCCUUAAGGCGCCGCUUGACUGACAGACACCCUUAAUGUAUGUAAUUCAUGGAAAACUACAGUCCCCACCUCACCCCCCUAAAAAAGCAAAACAUCUGAGUUAGGGGGUGUGUCAGAUUGAAAUGGUUGAAGAGUGAAUGGUGGCUGGAAGGUGAGCAGUUAGAAGUGAUUGCAAAUUCCUUUCCAGUAUAUUGUCAAGAAGGAUAGGAUGGUGGCCUGACACCCAGCUCUGCUAUUUAUUCUGUUAUCUCUUACAGGUUAGUCUCCCUCUUUGAGUCUUAGUUUCUUGUCUGUAAAAUAAGGGUGAUAUUACCGGUCCUCCCUGCUUGUCAGUUUUUGUGAAGGCAGUUCAAAAUAAAGUAUGUCAACAUAGUUCCUAAACCCCACAGUCUCCCAAAAGUGAGUGAGUUGGUAAUCAGUAGAGUGUCCAGUGUAAUACAAGGCCAGGGCCGCUAGAAAUGCCGUUCAAAGCAGACCGCAUCUACAAAAUACCUUCACAGUAACAGCUAGAUUAGUGUUUGAUUAAAUAAUUUAAUUAAAUAAUAAUAAUUAAUAAUAGCCUAGCCAAGUUGACACAUAAAACUAACCCUCAUACCCCAGAAAGUCUUUGCUCAAAUAUUAUGUUUUCCUAACAUUUAAAAUUGCAGUCCUACACACGUGUACAUCUUCCCUAAUAUUCUCUCUUCCCGUUCCCCUAGCCUGCUUUCCUUUAGCAUUUAUUAUCUUUGAGCCAUCCCUGUAUUUCUUAUCUCUAUCUUUAUUGUCUUUUUGCCUUCUCUGGAAUGUUAGCUCCACGUGGGCGGGGCAUUUUUGUCAAUGUUGUGAACCGAUGAAUCCUCAGCACCCAGCACAGCAUCUAGCACACAGUGGGCUCCUAAGAAACCUUUGCAAAUCACCGAAUGAAGCAUUAAUGUGAGCACUCAGUAAAUAUUUUUUCAAAUGAAUUUAGAGCUGGAGUUCAUCAUGAGAUAUUCCUGAACAGCCUCAGUAGGAGAGAAGUAGGAAAAGGGUAGAAGCAUGGCAGAUUAUAGGAAAAAAGAGAAAAUUUUCAGAGUUUGACAUCUAAGAAGUCGAAGAUUUAGUGAAGAAGGAGCACAGACUUGGGUGUUAAGUUCCCUUUACCCCUUAGCUGUGUAACUUUGGACAGGUUGUCUAAUCUCCUUGAACCUCAGUUUCUUCGUCUGUAAACUGGAAAUAGUAAUACUUAUCAUGUAGGGUUGUACCAGUGGUGACAAGUUGAUGCGUUUAAUGGGCUUAGCAUAGGACCUGGCCCACAGUGAGUGUUUAUUAAGAGGUGUCUGUUGCCAUCACCACCAUCAUCAUCAUCAUUAUUCAAUAUCAAAGUGGGGAAAUUUAUAAGAAAUCAUUGAAGUGUACUAAAAGUAAAAUUUUGGGAUUUCAGUCUAGCCUGUGAAGUUGGGAUGUUAAAAAUCUGAAACAAUGUUAACACACAAGUUUGGUUUGUACAGAGUGUCAGGGCAUAGUCACUUUUGUGCCAGGUCCUUUUAUUUUGUUUCAAAACAGAAUGAAAAUCUUUUCAGCAUAUAUAGCCCAUAAAACACAGUAAUUGACAUCAAAUCCUUCAGUUUGCCCCAAGCUGCCACUUAAAGUGCAGAGUUAGUUGGUUCCAGGUCAGAGGUGCCAUUCAUUUAUUUUCAACUGAUACAUGAGACAAAAAGUGCAGUCUUCACUGCUGAUGUUCUGCUCACCAGGAUUCUUUUGUUAUCUCCUGAGGUUGUUGCUUUGGACAACAAGAGAGAUGUUAGGUUCCAGCAAAGCUCCAUAAAGACACUGACUCAACUCCACCAUAAGUAUAACCUGUCACCAUAAGUAAAACUGAAAGGAUACACCUUAUCACCAUACUAUAUAUAUAUACUGUAUACUAUAGUAUAUACCUUAUCACCAUAAGUAUAGCUGAAAGGUUU
This 2022-nucleotide long non-coding RNA is filed under the name Homo sapiens (human). Its description in RNAcentral is "non-protein coding lnc-IRF2-1:11". The record is from RNAcentral. Lineage: Eukaryota; Metazoa; Chordata; Mammalia; Primates; Hominidae.